Molecule: long non-coding RNA, 176 nt
Organism: Bombus impatiens (common eastern bumble bee)
Lineage: Eukaryota; Metazoa; Arthropoda; Insecta; Hymenoptera; Apidae
Exons: 3
Source: RefSeq, a predicted model, not a curated record
UUUUCCACUAGAGAUGUAAAUUUGGCAAACAAAUUUUGACGCCGCUUUUUUUUCGAGGCUUCAUUCCCAUAUACGGUACGUAACUUCUUGUAUGCUUGCGAUGCGAUCUUGACUUUUCGGAAAUAAUACAAUAAAAUAUGUUUCAAAUGCGCGAGGUGUUCUUUCAUUUUUAAAUU